Molecule: unclassified non-coding RNA, 514 nt
Filed under: Hevea brasiliensis (rubber tree)
Lineage: Eukaryota; Viridiplantae; Streptophyta; Magnoliopsida; Malpighiales; Euphorbiaceae
Source: RNAcentral
GAUGCUAAUUUAUUUGUUGUCAUUUUUAUCACCAUUGAUUGGAAUCUCUUGUGGAUCACGUAUUGCAUAAGUCUAGUCUUGUCCACAAAUAUGCGUCCAUAACACAAAAAUCAGCAGAUAAUACUCACCUUUUGCAAGUAGCUGUGGAGAAUAGAAAUAUUUAAUAAUGAUCUUAGUUUAGAAAAGAAUAAUGGAGAGAUAUGUCGAAAGAAAGUGAAAUUUUGAGAGGAUGUGAUAGAAACAAUAGUUGUGGAAGGCAAGAAAAGAAAACACUACUUGCAUGUGAUUUGUAAUCUCUUUGUUAUUGAGGUAGCCAUUACCGUUAUUUAAUGGUAAAUGAGGACUAUUACUGUUAAGUAAUGGUGGUAAUAGCCAUUACACAUGCAACCUAAAAUUUGCCUAUAAAUAAUGGGUCACGGGUAAUGAGAUCUUUAAAACCUAUAAAUAACGGCCAUUAUCUUACAUUACAUAACAGCUGUUAUUUGAAACCACGGUUUAAACUUAAGUCUUAACA